AGUGAACGCUGGCGGUAGGCCUAACACAUGCAAGUCGAACGGCAGCACCGUAAGAGCUUGCUCUUACGGGUGGCGAGUGGCGGACGGGUGAGGAAUACAUCGGAAUCUACUUUUUCGUGGGGGUUAACGUAGGGAAACUUACGCUAAUACCGCAUACGACCUACGGGUGAAAGCAGGGGAUCUUCGGACCUUGCGCGAUUGAAUGAGCCGAUGUCGUAUUAGCUAGUUGGCGGGGUAAUGGCCCACCAAGGCGACGAUCCGUAGCUGGUCUGGGAGGAUGAUCAGCCACACUGGAACUGAGACACGGUCCAGACUCCUACGAGAGGCAGCAGUGGGGAAUAUUGGACAAUGGGGGCAAGCAUGAUCCAGCCAGACCGCGUGGGUUAAGAAGACCUUCGGGUUGGAAAGCCCUUUUUCUGGUAAAGAAAAGCAGCAGGUUAAUACCCCGCUGUUCUGACGGUACCCAGAGAAUAAGCACCGGCUAACUUCGUG
Molecule: ribosomal RNA, 492 nt
Filed under: uncultured bacterium
Lineage: Bacteria
Description: partial 16S ribosomal RNA
Rfam family: Bacterial small subunit ribosomal RNA
Source: RNAcentral